Molecule: ribosomal RNA, 150 nt
Filed under: uncultured bacterium
Lineage: Bacteria
Description: partial 16S ribosomal RNA
Rfam family: Bacterial small subunit ribosomal RNA
Source: RNAcentral
UGGGGAAUAUUGCACAAUGGGCGCAAGCCUGAUGCAGCGACGCCGCGUGCGGGAUGGAGGCCUCGGUUGUAACCGCUUUGUUCAAGGGCAAGGCAGGCUUUCGGGCCUGUUGAGUGGAUUGUUCGAAUAAGCACCGGCUAACUACGUGCC